This 433-nucleotide ribosomal RNA is filed under the name uncultured bacterium. Its description in RNAcentral is "bacterial SSU rRNA". It matches the Rfam family "Bacterial small subunit ribosomal RNA", at positions 340 to 786 of the family's 1533-position model. The record is from RNAcentral.
UACGGGAGGCAGCAGUGGGGAAUAUUGGACAAUGGGCGAAAGCCUGAUCCAGCCAUGCCGCAUGAGUGAAGAAGGCCUUCGGGUUGUAAAGCUCUUUUAGUGAGAAAGAUAAUGACGGUACUCACAGAAGAAGUCCUGGCUAACUCCGUGCCAGCAGCCGCGGUAAUACGGAGGGUGCUAGCGUUAAUCAGAAUUACUGGGCGUAAAGAGCACGUAGGUGGUUUUUUAAAGUCAGAUGUGAAAUCCCUGGGCUUAACCUAGGAACUGCAUUUUGAAACUGAAAUACUAGAGUAUCGUAGAGGGAGGUAGAAUUCUAGGUGUAGCGGUGAAAUGCGUAGAUAUCUGGAGGAAUACCUGUGGCGAAAGCGGCCUCCUAAACGAAUACUGACACUGAGGGUGCGAAAGCGUGGGGAGCAAACAGGGAUUAGAUACC